AUGAGAAAGGCCAUCUCAUUGCUUCUCAUGCUUGUCAAUUGGGAGGUGUGGAAGGAAAGAAAUGUGAGAGUUUUUCGCAACAAAUCGAUGAUGCCCACUACCCUCAUCGAUGACAUCAAAGUGGAAGCUAGGUGUUGGGUCAUCAUGUGGGCGACACAUUUGAGUUCUUUGAUGCCGUGA
Molecule: ribosomal RNA, 180 nt
Filed under: Triticum aestivum (bread wheat)
Lineage: Eukaryota; Viridiplantae; Streptophyta; Magnoliopsida; Poales; Poaceae
Description: partial small subunit ribosomal RNA
Source: RNAcentral